Long non-coding RNA from Suricata suricatta (meerkat), 397 nucleotides. RefSeq lists it as uncharacterized. The transcript has 2 exons. The record is from RefSeq and is a predicted model, not a curated record. Lineage: Eukaryota; Metazoa; Chordata; Mammalia; Carnivora; Herpestidae.
CAUAAUCUCAGAAAUGUAUAAUCACUAACUUUGAUAAACACUGUAAAGGAAAAAUAAAUGCAAGGAGCUAUGAGAAGGCGAUUCACAUGAGGGUGGUGCUGGGGCAGAGAAAAUGUAAACCAUUUUGAGCCUUUGUCAGAACCAUCAAUGGAAACUUCAAAGUGCCCUUUGUGUGACCAUGGAAAGAUGAUGAGCAGUAAAAGAAGUGCUUGGAGAGAAACUUGCAUUCCCUUAACAGCUUUAAUCACACUACACAGCAUAUGUCAAAAUGUUAAAGAGAACAGAAACUCUUAAUGCUUUGUGCAAUGUAUACAGUUCCUGAGCUUUGAUGUUUCUGUUUCUGCCCCUUUAGUUGUACAGAAUUGCUUGUUUAAAAAAAAUCGUUUGUGUCUCAUUA